AGGGAGACCUACCUUGGGGCAUCUGAGGGGAGUUAGACCACCCUCAGGCCAGCAAAGGUUAUCCCAGGUCGGUCGGGGUUGAAGGGAUGGUUGACUGGGGUUCUGGAGGGGAACCGAGGGGAGGGCUAUUAGCUCAGGUGGUUAGAGCGCACCCCUGAUAAGGGUGAGGUCCCUGGUUCGAGUCCAGGAUGGCCCACUGUUUGUCCUGGAGAAGGGAGAGCUAGCAAGCUAGAAGCGAGCUGGCCAAGCUGAGGGCAAAGCCAGAGGGUGGGUGCAGUCUGGAUUGGGGGUAUAGCUCAGCUGGUAGAGCGCUGCCUUUGCACGGCAGAAGUCAGCGGUUCGAGUCCGCUUACCUCCACCAC
RNAcentral lists this transfer RNA (362 nucleotides) under uncultured cyanobacterium. Its description in RNAcentral is "partial 16S-23S intergenic spacer". The stretch from base 286 to 358 matches the Rfam family "tRNA". Lineage: Bacteria; Bacillati; Cyanobacteriota. The record is from RNAcentral.